UGCCAGGUGGCACAAUGGGUCUGUGCAUCUGGCUGUUAACCAGAGGGUUGGUGGUUUGACCUCCCCAGGGACGGCUUGCAG
Molecule: non-coding RNA, 81 nt
Organism: Podarcis lilfordi (Lilford's wall lizard)
Lineage: Eukaryota; Metazoa; Chordata; Lepidosauria; Squamata; Lacertidae
Source: the annotation of a GenBank genome assembly